Molecule: long non-coding RNA, 319 nt
Organism: Bos indicus x Bos taurus (hybrid cattle)
Lineage: Eukaryota; Metazoa; Chordata; Mammalia; Artiodactyla; Bovidae
Source: Ensembl
GGGAGACAGCCGGAACAGGCUGGGCUCCCAGGCCACUGUGGCACUGCGGGCUGGGGAGACAGCCGGAACAGGCUGGGCUCCCAGGCUACUGUGGCACUGCGGGCUGGGGCUCCUUUGUAACCCAGGCCACCGUGGCACUGCGGGCUGGGGAGACAGCCGGAACAGGCUGGGCUGCAGCUGGUACGUGUCUGUUUGCUGGGUCUGGCUGCUGCAGGCUGGGCUGCUCAGACAAAGGGAUGAAUGGCCUAAGGUACUCUUGGUAGUGGUUGCAGAGGGAAAAGGACAUGGUGGAGCUCCGAGAGCCUCUGCUUGGAAGUGA